Molecule: small nuclear RNA, 196 nt
Organism: Ictalurus punctatus (channel catfish)
Lineage: Eukaryota; Metazoa; Chordata; Actinopteri; Siluriformes; Ictaluridae
Gene: U2
Rfam family: U2 spliceosomal RNA
About the family: U2 is a small nuclear RNA (snRNA) component of the spliceosome (involved in pre-mRNA splicing). Complementary binding between U2 snRNA (in an area lying towards the 5' end but 3' to hairpin I) and the branchpoint sequence (BPS) of the intron results the bulging out of an unpaired adenosine, on the BPS, which initiates a nucleophilic attack at the intronic 5' splice site, thus starting the first of two transesterification reactions that mediate splicing.
Source: Ensembl
AUCGCUUUCUUCGGCCUUUUGGCUAAGAUCAAGUGUAGUAUCUGUUCUUAUCAGUUUAAUACCUGAUACGUCCUCCAUUCGAGGACUUUAUAUUAAACGGAAUUUUUAGAGCGAGGAGCUGGAAGAGGGGCUUGCCUCCGUCCGCCUCCACGCAUCGACCUGGUAUUGCAGUACCUCCAGGAACGGUGCACCUUUU